CACUUGAAGUGCUUGGCCUUUUGAUGCUGCACUAGAAUCUUCUCGUCAUCGAAUUCCCUAUCGCAGUAAUAGCACCACACCUUUGACGAUACUCUCUUCUUCUUCCUUCCCAUUUUUUUUCCCUUCUAUUCUCUUACUCUCUCCCUCCCGCGAGCUCAAAAUCUCUCCUCGUCUUCUUCUUAUUGUUGGAUGGCUCUGAACUAUUCAAUUGUCGGAUUAGGG
Molecule: unclassified non-coding RNA, 222 nt
Filed under: Hevea brasiliensis (rubber tree)
Lineage: Eukaryota; Viridiplantae; Streptophyta; Magnoliopsida; Malpighiales; Euphorbiaceae
Source: RNAcentral